Molecule: ribosomal RNA, 310 nt
Filed under: uncultured eukaryote
Lineage: Eukaryota
Description: partial 18S ribosomal RNA
Rfam family: Eukaryotic small subunit ribosomal RNA
Source: RNAcentral
CCCUUAGAUGUUCUGGGCUGCACGCGUGCUACGCUGAUUAUUUCAACAAGUGUUUUAACUGGAGAGUUCGCGUAAUCCUGAAAUGUUAUCGUGAUGGGAGUAGAGUAUUGUAUUUGUUAAUCUUUAACGAGGAAUUCCUAGUAAGUGUAGGUUUAUAAGUUGUUCUGAUUACGUCCCUGCCCUUUGUACACACCGCCCGUCGCUCCUACCGAUUGAUUGAUCCGGUGAAUUACAUAGAAUUUUGCGUUUUACAUGACGGAAGACGAAGUGUUUUAAACCUUAUCAUUUAGAGGAAGGAGAAGUCGUAACA